GAGAGGCAGUACCCCGAGUUUCCCUGGAGUGGCGUCCAGGCGGAGAUCUUCCAGGCCUUCCGGGAGCUAUUCCAGGCGGCUUGCGCCCGGCCGCCGCCGCUGGGCCUCUGUCACUACCCCUCGUCCCGGGCCGUGUACGCCGUGGACCUCAUGCUCAAGUGGGCCAGCCGUCUAGACGGGACCCCGGCCGUGCAGCCCCAGAUCCUGGAGGUGAACUUCAACCCCGACUGCGAGCGGGCCUGCAAGUACCACCCCGACUUCUUCAACGACGUCUUCAGCACCCUGUACCUGGAUGAGCCCGGCGGCCACCACGUCACCGCCCUCAUCUAGGCCCCCGGGCCCCUCCUGGCCCUGCCCCCGCCCCCCAGCGCAGCGUCUCCCCCCUCGUGGGCCGGAAGCAGGGACGGUCACGUGUCGGGGCUGAGGGCCGGCCCCGUCCACUCUCCCUCGCCGCUGUCUGCCGGCCCCGGGUCAGCU
This is a long non-coding RNA of Condylura cristata (star-nosed mole), 477 nucleotides long. RefSeq lists it as uncharacterized. The record is from RefSeq and is a predicted model, not a curated record. NCBI's taxonomy places the organism in Eukaryota, Metazoa, Chordata, Mammalia, Eulipotyphla, Talpidae. The transcript has 3 exons.